AUUGAACGCUGGCGGCAGGCUUAACACAUGCAAGUCGAGCGGAGUGAUGGUGCUUGCACUAUCACUUAGCGGCGGACGGGUGAGUAAUGCUUAGGAAUCUGCCUAUUAGUGGGGGACAACAUCUCGAAAGGGAUGCUAAUACCGCAUACGUCCUACGGGAGAAAGCAGGGGAUCACUUGUGACCUUGCGCUAAUAGAUGAGCCUAAGUCGGAUUAGCUGGUUGGUGGGGGAAAGGCCUACCCAGGCGACGAUCUGUAGCGGGUCUGAGAGGAAGAUCAGCCACAAUGGGACUGAGACACGGCCCAGAGUCCUACGGGGGGCAGCAGUGGGGAAUAUUGGACAAUGGAGAGAACCCUGGUCCAGCCAUGCCGCGUGUGUGAAGAAGGCCUUAUGGUUGUAAAGCACUUUAAGCGAGGAGGAGGCUCUUUUGGUUAAGACCCAAGAUGAGUGGACGUUACUCGCAGAAUAAGCACCGGCUAACUCUGUGCCAGCCGCCGCCGUAA
RNAcentral lists this ribosomal RNA (503 nucleotides) under uncultured bacterium. Its description in RNAcentral is "partial 16S ribosomal RNA". It matches the Rfam family "Bacterial small subunit ribosomal RNA", at positions 30 to 523 of the family's 1533-position model. The record is from RNAcentral.